This is a non-coding RNA of Triticum aestivum (bread wheat), 134 nucleotides long. The record is from Rfam. NCBI's taxonomy places the organism in Eukaryota, Viridiplantae, Streptophyta, Magnoliopsida, Poales, Poaceae.
CACGUACUCCCUCCGUUCCGAAUUACUUGUCUUGGAUUUGUCUAGAUACGGAUGUAUCUAGACUCAUUUUAGUGCUAAUACAUCCGUAUCUAGACAAAUUUAAGAUAAGUAAUUCGGAACAGAGGGAGUAUGUG